UACGAAGGGGACUAGCGUUGUUCGGAAUCACUGGGCGUAAAGCGCACGUAGGCGGAUAUGUCAGUCAGGGGUGAAAUCCCGGGGCUCAACCUCGGAACUGCCUUUGAUACAGCAUAUCUUGAGUCCGAUAGAGGUGGGUGGAAUUCCUAGUGUAGAGGUGAAAUUCGUAGAUAUUAGGAAGAACACCGGUGGCGAAGGCGGCCCACUGGAUCGGUACUGACGCUGAGGUGCGAAAGCGUGGGGAGCAAACGGG
RNAcentral lists this ribosomal RNA (253 nucleotides) under uncultured bacterium. RNAcentral describes it as "partial 16S ribosomal RNA". It matches the Rfam family "Bacterial small subunit ribosomal RNA", at positions 524 to 776 of the family's 1533-position model. The record is from RNAcentral.